AACGCACAUUGCGCCCUCCGGUCCUCCGGGGGGCAUGCCUGUCCGAGCGUCAGUGCAACCCUCGAGCCCCCGGCUCGGUGUUGGGCGCCGUCCCCUCCUCCGGGGGGAGACGCGCCCGGAAAUCGGCGGCGGUGCGGCCGGGCGAUCGAGCGCAGUGACCAAGUUUUUCGCUCCGACCUCGCCCGGGCGCUCCGGCCGGACAACCCCCCCACGUCCAUGGUUGACCUCGGAUCAGGUAGGGAUACCCGCUGAACUUAA
RNAcentral lists this unclassified non-coding RNA (258 nucleotides) under uncultured fungus. RNAcentral describes it as "sequence contains ITS2". The stretch from base 1 to 52 matches the Rfam family "5.8S ribosomal RNA", at positions 103 to 154 of the family's 154-position model. The record is from RNAcentral. Lineage: Eukaryota; Fungi.